Molecule: unclassified non-coding RNA, 664 nt
Filed under: Dendronephthya gigantea
Lineage: Eukaryota; Metazoa; Cnidaria; Anthozoa; Malacalcyonacea; Nephtheidae
Description: uncharacterized LOC114543589, transcript variant X3
Source: RNAcentral
ACGCCUCAAGUUGUCAUACCACUGUUAGAAUUUCUCUCUGAUGAUGGAGAUUUGGAUAAACAGGAAAUCGCAUACAUAAAAGGCUUGGUCUUGAAGCUAGAGGAAGAAUUGCAUACUGUAACAUCUUCAUCCUCCAAAUAAUUACACAUCCCGGCAGAUCAAAUUGGUGGUGCAAUACAAAGACAGUUCGCGGACGCCUUGAAAGUUCAUGUUCAACAGCAAGCGAAUGACGGUUGGAAGAGGAAGCAACUGGAUGUUUGGUCAACCAGCAAAGCAGCUGGUGGCGACAAAGGAAACCUAUAAGGGCUUACCAGUGGAACUUCAAAAUCUACAUGUCAUUAAGAAACAUCAGAUGUUUGUUGGAAUCCUCAAAAGUUCUAAACUCUUCGUACAAAAACAGGAACAACGUGAACUACUUGACAAAAAUGGGGAUUGCAAUAGAGUUUUGGUCUAUGGAACCGACUUGAGACACAAAAAACUAUUUUUGUUGAGCCACGACGAAAAAACGAAUUUACAGAGGCAAUGGAAGGAUUUUAUGAAAACGUUUGCAACCCAGAGAACAAGGGUGCUGUUUCUUGUUGUUUGCUAAAGAAAGACCGAACGUAUGUGUGCCAGGAUCAGGUGACCAGCUGUGCAUUCACCCCCAGGUUCUUGAACAAGAAAC